CGAAACCGAUAGCGAACAAGUACCGUGAGGGAAAGUUGAAAAGUACUCUGAAUAGAGAGUUAAAUAGUACGUGAAACCGCUUAGGGGUUAAGCCCGAUGAACCCGAAUAUCUGAUGUGAGAAAUUCAAUACGAUUCAAAUUCAUAUUUUUAUAUUGAAUUUGUAUAGUAUGCACUUUUCUCAUAGUAAGACAUUGUAAUCCAUUGAUAUUAUAUCUCAUUUGGGAUGAUUUAACAUACGGACAAAAUGUUUAUGAUUAUUCUAUCAGUGAUAUGUUUACAUGUCAUAUGAAUAAAAUCGUUUUGUUUCCUGUUUAAAUAGUCGAUGGAUUUUUCAUUGAAAUCAUGCUUGCAAUUUAUUUUGCGUUUCGUAUCAUUAAUUUUUAAUUUUUGAUAGCAGAAAUGGCAUGUAUUCGAUUAACAAUGCGAUAGAUUUGGGAUACUUUCAGGACCCGUCUUGA
This 459-nucleotide ribosomal RNA is filed under the name Dasineura wistariae. RNAcentral describes it as "partial large subunit ribosomal RNA". It matches the Rfam family "Eukaryotic large subunit ribosomal RNA", at positions 329 to 657 of the family's 3401-position model. The record is from RNAcentral. Lineage: Eukaryota; Metazoa; Arthropoda; Insecta; Diptera; Cecidomyiidae.